GAUGAACGCUGGCGGCGUGCCUAACACAUGCAAGUCGAGCGGCAGCGCGAGUCUUUUACUACUUGGCGGCGAGCGGCGGACGGCUGAGUAACGCGUAGGAACGUGCCCCAAAGUGAGGAAUAACUGCCCGAAAGGGUGGCUAAUGCCGCAUAUGAUCUUCGGAUUAAAGUCUUCGGACGCUUUGGGAGGGGCCUGCGUUAGAUUAGGUAGUUGGUGAGGUAAUGGCUCACCAAGCCGACGAUCUAUAGCUGGUCUGAGAGGAUGAUCAGCCAGACUGGGACUGAGACACGGCCCAGAAUCCUACGGGAGGGAGCAGUGAGGAAUCUUCCACAAUGGGCGAAAGCCUGAUGGAGCAACGCCGCGUGAAGGAUGAAGGCCCUAGGGUCGUAAACUUCGUUUAUAAGUGAAGAAUAUGACGGUAACUUAUGAAUAAGCACCGGCUAACUACGUG
RNAcentral lists this ribosomal RNA (451 nucleotides) under uncultured bacterium. Its description in RNAcentral is "partial 16S ribosomal RNA". It matches the Rfam family "Bacterial small subunit ribosomal RNA", at positions 28 to 507 of the family's 1533-position model. The record is from RNAcentral.